AAAUAGACUACCCAGGUAGUCCACGCCGUAAACGUUGGGCGCUAGAUGUGGGGGCCAUUCCACGGGUUUCCGCGUCGUAGCUAACGCAUUAAGCGCCCCGCCUGGGGGAGUACGGCCGCAAGGCUAAAACUCAAAGGAAUUGACGGGGGGCCCGCACAAGCGGCGGAGCAUGCGGAUUAAUUCGAUGCAACGCGAAGAACCUUACCAAGGCUUGACAUAUACGAGAACACUGCAGAAAUGUAGGACUCUUUGGACACUCGUAUACAGGUGGUGCAUGGUUGUCGUCAGCUCGUGUCGUGAGAUGUUGGGUUAAGUCCCGCAACGAGCGCAACCCUCGUCGCAUGUUGCCAGCACGUAAAGGUGGGAACUCAUGUGAGACUGCCGGGGUCAACUCGGAGGAAGGUGGGGAUGACGUCAAAUCAUCAUGCCCCUUAUGUCUUGGGCUUCACGCAUGCUACAAUGGCCGGUACAAAGGGCUGCAAUACCGUAAGGUGGAGCGAAUCCCAAAACGCCGGUCUCAGUUCGGA
RNAcentral lists this ribosomal RNA (527 nucleotides) under uncultured bacterium. RNAcentral describes it as "bacterial SSU rRNA". It matches the Rfam family "Bacterial small subunit ribosomal RNA", at positions 776 to 1297 of the family's 1533-position model. The record is from RNAcentral.